Molecule: ribosomal RNA, 498 nt
Filed under: uncultured bacterium
Lineage: Bacteria
Description: partial 16S ribosomal RNA
Rfam family: Bacterial small subunit ribosomal RNA
Source: RNAcentral
GGACGAACGCUGGCGGCGUGCCUAAUACAUGCAAGUUGAGCGAUGAAGAUUGGUGCUUGCACCAAUUUGAAGAGCAGCGAACGGGUGAGUAACGCGUGGGGAAUCUGCCUUUGAGCGGGGGACAACAUUUGGAAACGAAUGCUAAUACCGCAUAACAACUUUAAACAUAAGUUUUAAGUUUGAAAGAUGCAAUUGCAUCACUCAAAGAUGAUCCCGCGUUGUAUUAGCUAGUUGGUGAGGUAAAAGCUCACCAAGGCGAUGAUACAUAGCCGACCUGAGAGGGUGAUCGGCCACAUUGGGACUGAGACACGGCCCAAACUCCUACGGGAGGCAGCAGUAGGGAAUCUUCGGCAAUGGACGAAAGUCUGACCGAGCAACGCCGCGUGAGUGAAGAAGGGUUUCGGAUCGUAAAACUCUGUUGGUAGAGAAGAACGUUGGUGAGAGUGGAAAGCUCAUCAAGUGACGGUAACUACCCAGAAAGGGACGGCUAACUACGUG